UAAGCUGGUUAGAUACCCCUCCCCAUCUUCAUUUCAAGUAUUUGAGCUAUAUGUUCCUUAACAGUGAAGUGAUAACCACAGUACUUCACUGCUUCACCAACCAGAACAAAUUUUUAUUACAGAAAUAUAUCAUAAUAUAUUUACAACCAGUGUAAGGCUCAUUUUUAUUUAAUUUUUAACCUGUAAGCAUUCCUUCAUUUAUUUCCUAAGAUUCUCUCCACCUUCACUUGGAUUCUUAAAUGUGUUCCUCUGCUUCCUCUGCCCAUUUUUUUUUUAAUGAUCUCUGAAAGCAGUAUUUAAGCAAGCACCUCAACACAGGAACUUCAUCCUCCAGGUCCCUAAACAAAACAAAACAAAACAAACAAACAAAAAAAAGUGAAGAAAAUCUAUACUUGCUUCACAUCCUGCUUUCUGCAUACCACAGCCAGUUUGCAACAUGAACGUAUGCAAGGUAGAGCACAAGGGAAAGCAAAACUGAGAUAUAAAAUAGUUCUUCAAAAGCAGAAAAAGGCACUGUGUUGUUCACAAAUCAGAACACUAAAUGCAAAUUUGCCCUUGAAUAAAGGAAGGGAAAGGAAAAAGACACUGGAAGGAAUUCAGGAGGUUGAGUUCAAGUUUUCUUUUGAAUUUCAAGUUUGCCUGAAACAGUUUGACUCUCAGUGCUGCUGACAUCGCAUAAAGUGAACCCACCAUCGAGGUUUAGAUGAAACCUAGGUAAACAGCAGCAGAUUUCAUGCUGUUCUAAUACAGACCCCUGUGAAAGCACAACUGUUCAGAAAAGUAUGUAAUAUACUUCAAGUAUGUGGACCUACAAACCUCAAGAGGUAUCACUGAAACAGUUCUAGCCGAAUGACUUCUAAUUUGACACUGAAGAGGCAACCUACCAAGUAAUAACUAUGAAAACUGCACAGGGACAAUAAUUCAACCUACUGUAGCUGUGUUUUAAGCAUAAGGAGAGCUGCUGUAUAUUACUGAAAACCUUAAUACAAAGCUUACCUUGCUAUCAGAGGAUUGUUCAGUUUUUUAAUGUGUUAUCCAAACAAAAAAACACAAAUCAUAGAACACAUUGAGAGUUAGCAUGGGCAUGUUUGAUGUACCACAGCACAUACGUUAAAACAAAAAGUAUAAACUUUUGUAGGGAAGAAGUAACAUAAAUAAUAAAAUAAUUUUCACACCAAGAUCACUGCCAAACCACCCAUGACUUUACUGGAGAGGUUAAGUCUCUCUAGACAGCUCAUCUUAGCCAAGUCCCAUUAUAAACAUAGAUAUUCCUUCCCAUAUAGCAUGUUCAUAAUCAGAGAAAUACCUGGGUGGUAGUCAAUCAGAAAAACAGCUCAAAGGUAAGAACAAGUUUUAUGUCUGUUUUCCAUCCAGAAGUACAAUGAAUUUCAGCAAUACCAGUCAGGACAAAGCAGGAAAAAAAUAUAUAUAUAUAAAAAAAUAAAUAAAUUCCUGAGUUCUUGCCUGGCACAUAUUCCUCUAGACCUCAUGCAUCUAAAAGCAAAAAUUAAGGAGAAGAGCUGUUAUUGAUGCUGUUAUGCACUAUCAUGCAUAAGAUGCAUAGUUAAUUCUCAUCCCCUUGCUCUCUGCAGAGACCAGGAGCUCUUAAACCAAGAUGUUUCAUCACUUCAGUAAUGACAUCUCCAGGGAUCUACAGUGUAGGGCAGAUGGGCUACAAAGUCUGAGAAAAGUGACUGAUUUGGUCUUCCUUGGUCCAAAUGUUAUUUCCUGAAAAUAAGAGCACAAGAAGCUGAUGCAACAUAGUAUUACUAACAUUUUAAAAUAUAUGCUUAAUAAUGAAUAUUUGAGUUGUAUUGAUCACCUACACCCCUAUAGUUUUGAAAUGUUCUUUUAUAAAAAUGUAGCAAAUGGGUAAUGAAGAGGCAGAAAAUUUUUGUAUGCUUUGCAUAAUUAAAAUGCAAGACAUAAAGGACAGAAAAACACCACAUAGAUACAGAGAAAACUGUAGAUACAUUGCUACAUAACCAGUUUAUUAAUCCAAGUCAUCAGUCAGGACUAACAUAAACUGUACAUUUUUAUUCUGCAGUGCUUCAAAUCUGGGUCAGUCAAAUAAAUAUUCUUGGUGUGUCUCGUAACAGUCGGGUUUGUCCAGUAGAGGGAGGCAUUGUCAAUACAGUCAGCUCAGAAAAGCAAGACUGCAGCAACUGCUGGAUAAAGAAAAUAAAAUCCAACCAGCAAUGAUGUCCGUUUUGUAACUCUUUAAGCAUUUAUCUCUUUAAGUAUUAUGAAACUUGGCAAAUGCUUAAAACUUCUGUAGGUCAAGCAAAAUCAUAUGAUGGCAUGGUAGUAAAAUCUCUGACCUGUCCUGAAUGCACACAGGUUGUGAUGAUGUCCAGAGAAGGCUAAAAAAAUUAUUUGAGGAAUUGGCAAGCUUUCCAACUGAAGAAUUUCCAGGCUGUAGUGUGCACAUCCAUUGUGCAGGGAGUGAUGUGAGAACAGCCCGCAGGCACCCUACCAUCACUAGCAUGGAGAAAUGCCCCAAAAUAAGAGCAUACUCCUAUAUAUUUAUACACAAGAAACAGACACAGUCAGGGACUCUAAGCAAAGAGCCAGAGCCAGUAAUGCCUGCCAGGCACUGCUCUCUCCCUGAGGACAUGACUAAGAGGAAGAAGGGAGGAGAUGCAGCAGUCGCAUCGCUCUGGGAGAACAUGCAACCCAUUGGCUGCUCCCAUGUCAAAAAUACAAGUAUUUUGUAGAUUUCCUUGAAACAGUCAUUUGUGGGAGGAAGUUAUGCCAAACUUGUGUGGAACACAUCACCAGUUUUCGCAGACCUCAGAGAUGUUUAGUUGCACGAAGGCUCUGCCACCUGACAGUGCCUCUCAGACACAUCAUGUCUUGGCUUUGGCCAUGACCCAGGUGUUCACUGAGAUGUUCAAGAGUUUCAAUAGCUGUGCCAGGUAGCUGUGCUCAGAGAAAGCACAGCUUUAAUACUUUCAGGAUGUGUUUGCCAGACCGACUGAGAAUUAACUUGGUGUGUGAUACAUUCACAAAACACUAUCUUCACUGCUUGUGCAUCAAACAAGUGCUUGGCACAUACAUACAUGCUUCCGCCUGGGAAACCCUUGUAGGUAUAGAUGUGUGGAAAAGAGGGAGUAAAAUGUGUUUGUUUUGUAGCAGGGAAAAGAAGGAUUUGCCCUACAGAAAUGACUCAAGUGCAAUGACUUCAUCACAUUUUUACAUAUGCUAUACUGUGCUUAAAAAUAUAAACUUGGUCAUUAGUGUGCAAGCCACUCUCACACAGACACCUGCAUGUCUUUGGCACCACAUGCUUUCUAUUAUAAAUAACAGCUACACCUUGCUUUUGUGGCAGAAUUGAGACUAAAAUCUCUUAUAAAAUCAGCCAGCACUGUGCAGACAGCUUCAGCCCCCUGCAAUCAAUACUUUAUGGAUAAGUUGAUGCAUGCACUCUGAAGAAAAUGAAAUAAAAUGUACCAUGUCAGUUUACAUAAUCCAAGAGCUGAUAGCCUUCAUUUUCUGAGCCACCAAAACAAAAAUAUAAAAUAAGGAGAUUCCAAAGCUGGAAUGUAGUAUCCACAUAUUUUGCAUAAUUUUUCAAAAAAAAAGUCUCUUUUUUUAAGGGGAUGGGGCGGAGGGAGGGGGGGAGGAGGGCACAACUAAGAUUGUUGUAGCUUUUCCUACAUAGGCUGAAAAAAAUUGUGUAGGUUGGGAAAAAUGCUGCAUAAACACCCUUCCUUCUGUAUUAUGUUGGCUGCCUGACAUGUUAGAUAAGUUACUAAAAGGCAAAAGCUUUCAGAUUCUGUCAUCUGAAUUUACCCAAGGACUUCAGUUUUCAACUUUAUCUCAAUUUCUCAGUUCUUGGAACACUCCCCUCCCCACAUCCUUCUCCUCCCAAAAAAAAACCAAAACCAUCCAACCAACCAAAAACAAACAAACUACCCCACCAAACAAACAAACAAACAAAAACAAACAAGGAGAAUACUCCUAGGACAUCAGAUAACCAGUGCCAAACCCACACUGCAAGACUGUCAUCUUAGCUCCCUGCCCUCCGUACCUUUGUUCCUGCCUUAGUGACUGUUAUGUUCUUGCAUAUCUGCAAGUGCAGAAGGUUCUUUCUGAGAGUUCCUUAAGCACCAUGACUUUCACAUACAGGUGAUGGCUUCCAUGAGUCCUGUCAGCUUCAGGUACUACUUAUUCAUCCAACCAUGCACACAGGCACUCUUUUGUGUAUGGCUGGAAGUGCACAAAAUUGAUGGCUAGACUGGAAAAUAUUUGCUGGUAUUAAACAAGGAAACAUUUCUUAUUCAUGUUUGUCAUCUCAUUGUUUGAAAUAGAUUUCACAGGGUAAAUUUCUUCCCAUAGAUAGAUUUCAAACAGUAGCUCUGAUAAUAUGACUUAACAAUCAGAUGUGAUUAUACAAGAAAGAUACUUGGUAGGUAUAUGAAUAUGAAAAAAAAUAUUUUGUCUAUUACUUUUAAUAAAUAUUGUGGCAACUGUCAUAUAAAUAAAUACAUGUUAAAAAUGAAUUAAAACACAACCUAAUGUCUGCCAAGUUAGCAAUUAGGUAUCUAAAUACCCUACAAAGCUAGAACACUAUAGUGCUAAAACUUGACUUCCCUCUCCAAGCUACCCUUAGUUUAUUUUCAGAAAUAAAAAAUAACCAAUCAAGCAUAUCAAAACUAACAAAUCAAUCAAACGAAAAAAAAAACAACAACAACAAAAAAAAAACAAAACAAAAAAACAAACUUACCACCACCACCAAAAAGAACACCACUACCAACAAAAACAAGCAACAAACAAACAAACAAACAAACAAACAAAAAAGCAGCUAAGGACUUUGAGAAAGGUAGAAGAAAUUAGGUUGCCCUGAUUUUAAGUAGACACUAAGGCCUGUAAUGGAAUAUUUACAUAUAUAACUAUACUUACAGAUUUUUACAUUUAUUUUUUGCAUUCCUGUACAGCUUGGUCAAUUGAAAUGUUAUAGAAGAGGAAACAAAAUGUGAAAAUGCUAAGGAUAAAGCAAACAUUAUGAAGUCUUAGUUUGGUCCCCUUAGUUUGGACACUGAUACAACUGAUAGAUAUUAUUUGAAUCUAGUAUUUCCUGGACAAUAUUUUUGUUCCAUUUAAUCAGGUAAAGUCACAAGUGAACAGGUUGCUGUUGACUUCUCUCUUCCUAACCCAGGGCAUCAACUAGAUUAUCAUAAACCUCCCAGCUUUUCUGCAAUGUGUUUUUAGAAUGACUUCUAACAUGGUGAUCACCCACGGUACUUAAGAGAUUGAACCUGCCCUCUAAGGGAUGUUGUGGUGAGGGCAGUAACCCUGCCAGGAAAACAAAGUUAGUCUGCUUGGGGUGCCCAUCCUUCAACCCCAUUGAACUAAGGGCUGAGGAAGAAGAAAGUGUUUCACUGUAAAUGGAGAUGUCAGGACAAACUGUCACUGCAAUCACUAUACUACCAAUUAUUCAAGACAGACUCUGUUGCUAGGGUCUGGCUGAGAAAACACAUGGAACUUCUUCCCAGUUUUUAUCUCCACUAUCAGCUUGCCCUGUAAAGAUAUCUUCAUCCUGCUUUGUCUCCCCACUUUACUCUUCUUGUAUUUUUCUUCACAGUGUCUCCCUGAAGCCUUUUCCUCAUCCUGGGCUACUAAUCUCUGAGAUGAUAAACCCAGGAGAUGAAGUUUUUUCCUGCUGUGGCAGUCAGUUACAUUUUUUGUUCUUGUUCUGUCAGUUCUUCCAGCCUCACUGAUCUCCUCUGAAACACACAGGGCAGAGGACAGUAAAGAAGAACAGAAAGAGGGAGAAGUGAAGUCAUUGCCCAAUGCAGAAGAAGGCUCAAGUUACAUCUUUAGAUGGGAAAACUAUCAGAGGCAUGUCUGGGAACAGUCUGGUGAAGGACAAGAGGACUCUGCAAUUAUACCAUGAGCUGUGCUGCAACAUACUCUUGUGGACAGAGUACAGAACAGCCCACUAGAUGACACAAGAUGCGGCCAUCUGACAAAGACUGGGGAUGGACCUGGGCUUUCUGUUCUAAUAAUCACAAGUGCCAGUAACAGGACAGGAAGAGAGACUCAAACAUAAAUAAAUUAAUUAGCAAGGACAUUAUUUAUACACUGGGAAUUUCUAGUGUAUGUGGUGUCUGCUCUAAUAACCCACGGACAAAUCACCUCUUCUUGCUAUAACACCUCAGGGAGAGGACCAGAAGAGAAAGACAACCAUAAGUUUUCAUCUAAAGGAAAAAGGAUAAGAAGCAGCUUGAAAAUCUGCAGGGAAAGAUCCUGCAUAUUCAUAAAGAGCAGAACAAUCCAUAUGGACACCUGCCCCUCACAACGGCUUCUCUUGCUCCUGGCUACUAUUGUUCCAGAGUGAUCUGCAGUUAAUAUCAACAGGACUGUGGUACAUGGGCAUUUGAGUGCUCCAAGCUUGCUUUUUCCUAAUGCAACAAAACACAAAUGGCUGUGAAACUUUUUGGAGAAAAGAUUGACUUCAAGGAGCUCAACAAAAAUAAAAAGUCUCUUCCUUGCUUAUGUAUCCUUUGUCAGCACAUUCUAGCCACAUGAAAAUGAAUGAAAAUAAACCUAUGUUAAUGACAUUUUCCCCUUUAUGACUCAAAAAUUUUGGACCAGAUUCUUAACUGCUGAUAAGCUGUUUAAAAUGGUGAAAUCAUUUGUCGAGUUGUCAGGAAAGUCCAAAAAUUCAUAUUCAUAUGUCAUGAGGACCGGUCCUUUUCCUUUUCAUUGGACAGUUUAGCUGGAUGUUUUUUUAAAACAAGAAAAAUUAAGAAGACUUCAAUUAAGAAAAGACUUCAUGUCUUUUCUAUGAGCUUGUACAGUGGAUGUCAUAAGAUUCUAACCUUUAGCCUUUUCUUAAGACAAACACAAAAGUAAGAUUCCCAUUAAAUGGUGGCCUUGUAUGUCAUUUUUACCUCCAAGCACCGUGCUCCUCCCAUACUGUUGAGUCAUUCCAAUUUUCAGUACUAUUCAGAACAGCAUUUGAGCUUUUCUUGGAAGGUGAAAUACAUCUGAUAUUUUGUAAAGAAAUAAAAAUUUUCAUUAUGCACA
Non-coding RNA from Anas platyrhynchos (mallard), 7035 nucleotides. Lineage: Eukaryota; Metazoa; Chordata; Aves; Anseriformes; Anatidae. The record is from RefSeq and is a predicted model, not a curated record.